RNAcentral lists this ribosomal RNA (498 nucleotides) under uncultured bacterium. RNAcentral describes it as "partial 16S ribosomal RNA". It matches the Rfam family "Bacterial small subunit ribosomal RNA", at positions 30 to 523 of the family's 1533-position model. The record is from RNAcentral.
AUUGAACGCUGGCGGCAUGCCUUACACAUGCAAGUCGAACGGUAACAGGUCUUCGGAUGCUGACGAGUGGCGAACGGGUGAGUAAUACAUCGGAACGUGCCUAGUAGUGGGGGAUAACUACUAGAAAGAGUGGCUAAUACCGCAUGAGAUCUACGGAUGAAAGCAGGGGAUCGCAAGACCUUGUGCUACGAGAGCGGCCGAUGGCAGAUUAGGUAGUUGGUGGGAUAAAAGCUUACCAAGCCGACGAUCUGUAGCUGGUCUGAGAGGACGAUCAGCCACACUGGGACUGAGACACGGCCCAGACUCCUACGGGAGGCAGCAGUGGGGAAUUUUGGACAAUGGGCGCAAGCCUGAUCCAGCAAUGCCGCGUGCAGGAUGAAGGCCUUCGGGUUGUAAACUGCUUUUGUACGGAACGAAAAGCCCCGGGUUAAUACCCUGGGGUCAUGACGGUACCGUAAGAAUAAGCACCGGCUAACUACGUGCCAGCCGCCGCGGUAA